GAGCCCGCGUUCCAUUAGCUAGUUGGUAGGGUAAUGGCCUACCAAGGCAACGAUGAGUAGCUGGUCUGAGAGGAUGAUCAGCCACACUGGAACUGAAACACGGUCCAGACUCCUACGGGAGGCAGCAGUGGGGAAUAUUGCGCAAUGGGCGAAAGCCUGACGCAGCAACGCCGUGUGAGGGAUGAAGGCUUUCGGGUCGUAAACCUCUGUCGGAAGGGAAGAACGGGCAAGGGUCCAAUAGGCCCUUGUUUUGACGGUACCUUUAGAGGAAGCACCGGCUAACUCCGUGCCAGCAGCCGCGGUAAUACGGAGGGUGCAAGCGUUAUUCGGAAUUACUGGGCGUAAAGCGCACGUAGGCCGCUUUGUAAGUCAGGGGUGAAAUCCCACGGCUCAACCGUGGAACUGCCCUUGAAACUGCAGAGCUUGAAUCCUGGAGAGGGUGGCGGAAUUCCUGGUGUAGGAGUGAAAUCCGUAGAUAUCAGGAGGAACACCGGUGGCGAAGGCGGCCACCUGGACAGGUAUUGACGCUGAGGUGCGAAAGUGUGGGGAGCAAACAGGAUUAGAUACCCUGGUAGUCCACACCGUAAACGAUGAACACUAGAUGUCGGAG
RNAcentral lists this ribosomal RNA (610 nucleotides) under uncultured delta proteobacterium. RNAcentral's name for it is "bacterial SSU rRNA". It matches the Rfam family "Bacterial small subunit ribosomal RNA", at positions 227 to 828 of the family's 1533-position model. Lineage: Bacteria; Deltaproteobacteria. The record is from RNAcentral.